This 537-nucleotide ribosomal RNA is filed under the name Bifidobacterium pseudocatenulatum. RNAcentral's name for it is "bacterial SSU rRNA". It matches the Rfam family "Bacterial small subunit ribosomal RNA", at positions 155 to 704 of the family's 1533-position model. Lineage: Bacteria; Bacillati; Actinomycetota; Actinomycetes; Bifidobacteriales; Bifidobacteriaceae. The record is from RNAcentral.
AACGGGUGGUAAUGCCGGAUGCUCCGACUCCUCGCAUGGGGUGUCGGGAAAGAUUUCAUCGGUAUGGGAUGGGGUCGCGUCCUAUCAGGUAGUCGGCGGGGUAACGGCCCACCGAGCCUACGACGGGUAGCCGGCCUGAGAGGGCGACCGGCCACAUUGGGACUGAGAUACGGCCCAGACUCCUACGGGAGGCAGCAGUGGGGAAUAUUGCACAAUGGGCGCAAGCCUGAUGCAGCGACGCCGCGUGCGGGAUGACGGCCUUCGGGUUGUAAACCGCUUUUGAUCGGGAGCAAGCCUUCGGGUGAGUGUACCUUUCGAAUAAGCACCGGCUAACUACGUGCCAGCAGCCGCGGUAAUACGUAGGGUGCAAGCGUUAUCCGGAAUUAUUGGGCGUAAAGGGCUCGUAGGCGGUUCGUCGCGUCCGGUGUGAAAGUCCAUCGCUUAACGGUGGAUCUGCGCCGGGUACGGGCGGGCUGGAGUGCGGUAGGGGAGACUGGAAUUCCCGGUGUAACGGUGGAAUGUGUAGAUAUCGGGAAG